Chlorocebus sabaeus (green monkey) is the source of this 864-nucleotide non-coding RNA. The record is from RefSeq and is a predicted model, not a curated record. Lineage: Eukaryota; Metazoa; Chordata; Mammalia; Primates; Cercopithecidae.
GAGGCUGCCGGGAAGGGACGAUGUGGUUGGUGGAGUGCACAGGCAGGGACCUCACUGGACUUUCCUAUCUGCUCGGCAUGGACAGGCAGCCCAGGAGAAGGCAGCAGGGACAUGCCACCCCCUCUUUCCCCAAGGAAGCUGGGGACAGACGGGUCCCAGGCACUCCAUCCUCUGCAGCAGGUCAGGUUGUGAUUUACUGGGCGUUGGUGAAUAAAAUGGAGAGGCUUCUGGGGAGAAAUUCCUGGCUCCCACGUGGACUGGCAGAGCUCAACAGGCAGCCACGUGGCUGAGUGUCCAGCAAACAUCACAUAAGGCUUUGGGUCCUGUAGGUGAGGCUGCCCUGAGCAGCAAGCUCAGUCCAGAAGAGCAGUUCCUCUCCAGGAUCCAUUUUCUGCGCACUUUUAUGUCCAGUGUAGCUGGAGCAGAGCUCGCUGGAAUUCCACAGGCAACUAAGAACGGAGAGGGAUGCAUGCCAGCCAGGGAUCCGUUGUCUUCCCCAUCAGCACGCCCCAUGGCCUCCGUCUGCACAGUGUCCCUCUGCACAACUUGUCAGUGCGUUAUCACGACUCUUAUUUGGCCCUGGCCUGUCCCACUGUCCUGGCUUGUUCCAAGUGCUUCCUUCUCCAGCUGUGGUUCUGGCUGCAGAGCUGUCUGCUCCCCACGUUGGGCAACUCCAGCCAAGAUUCCUACACCCAAAUGUGACCGUGUUGCUCACAAAGAAGCCUCAGCUUUGUGUGCACCCAGCUGUGUGCACAGCUUGUCCCAACCCCAGUGGGUGCUGCGUGCCUCUCCCACCUCCAGUCCUUGCCAUGAUGAGCAGAUGACCACCGCCCUCCAGGGUCAGUGUUUGGCUGCUCUUGUGCC